This 254-nucleotide ribosomal RNA is filed under the name uncultured bacterium. Its description in RNAcentral is "partial 16S ribosomal RNA". It matches the Rfam family "Bacterial small subunit ribosomal RNA", at positions 524 to 776 of the family's 1533-position model. The record is from RNAcentral.
UACGGAGGGUGCAAGCGUUGUCCGGAUUUAUUGGGUUUAAAGGGUGCGUAGGCGGCUCUUUAAGUCAGAGGUGAAAUCCCGUGGCUCAACCACGGAACUGCCUUUGAUACUGGAGAGCUUGAGUUCGGUAGAGGCGGGCGGAACUGGUGGUGUAGCGGUGAAAUGCAUAGAUACCACCAAGAACCCCGAUUGCGAAGGCAGCUCGCUGUGCCUGUAACUGACGCUGAGGCACGAAAGCGUGGGGAGCGAACAGG